Molecule: long non-coding RNA, 381 nt
Organism: Nematostella vectensis (starlet sea anemone)
Lineage: Eukaryota; Metazoa; Cnidaria; Anthozoa; Actiniaria; Edwardsiidae
Exons: 4
Source: RefSeq, a predicted model, not a curated record
ACCAAUACUUAGAGGUUUUAAAAAUUGGGUAACAUAAGACAAAUCUGAUCAGGAGCUGCAAAAAAUAUUUGUUUAUUUAUUUACUAAUAUUUUCCCAGGUAAAUCCCUUCAGCAAAGCUGAUAUAAAUAGGUGACAUGGAUAACAAAAUUAUAAGGGAAAAGAAAAAUGUAUCCCCUUCCAUUGACAUUUGGGGCUAAACAUGAUUUUUUUUUCAGUGACAGGAAAGGAUUAUUGCUGCCGGGGAGGAGGCUGAAGCUGCACUUUUACGAAGAAGAGAGAACAUAGACCGAAGAAAUGUUCGAGAGGAGCAGGGAUAGGGAAAGACAACGUUUGUUAGAAAUUGAAGAGAGACAGAAAAAAUAGACGUGACCAGCAAGACA